Long non-coding RNA from Mus musculus (house mouse), 2454 nucleotides. RefSeq annotates it as Hoxd antisense growth associated long non-coding RNA. The record is from RefSeq and is marked validated. Lineage: Eukaryota; Metazoa; Chordata; Mammalia; Rodentia; Muridae. The transcript has 3 exons.
CGCGCCUGCCUUGCUGCCAACUUAGCCAAAGUGGCUGAGGGGCCUCCGCCCAGCUCGGGGGAGAGCGGCGCCGGCGGAAGGGCGGGGCGAGAGCCCUGGACAUCAGCUCCUGGGACAGUUUCUCAAAGAAGGACCAAAGUUUUGUCAAGAACACCCAGAUGAAGACCUUCCUAGACCUGUAAACUGGGAUUACCAAGUUCUUGACUUCACAAGGAAGUUUCAACCAAUUCUGAUGGAACAACCAGAGAGGCCCAAAUGACUGCCACCCAUGAGCCAAGGACCUGAUCUCUUUCCUUUAGACCUAAUACUCUACCGGAGAUCCACAACCUUCCUAAUCCCCACCCCCUCCUCGUCCCGCCCCCGCGCCUCAAAAACUAUGGAGAAAAAGAAGGUGUGCCCAAGGCUGGACCGAAGUCAUCCUGCCCCUUCUUCAAAAGAGAGACACCUCCCAAGGCCAACGCCCUCCGGAGGGGCCCAGGUGCUCCUCCCUUCUGGCAUCUAUUCCGUCUGGCAUCUAUUCCGUCUGGCAUCUAUUCCUCUGCAAAGGAUCAGAAAGGAAGCCGCUGGCUCAAUGGAUUCUGGAUUUCGGGUAGACCUGACUGCUUUGGGGCAUCCUCAAUCGGGCGGUGAAGCCUCUGGGGGCAGAGGAGCGUCGUGGGAGAGGAGCGUCGUGGGAGAAAGACAAGCUAGGCUGCUGCUUCCCUACCCAUGCCAACUUCCCGGGUCUCGUCUUGAAACAAGAGCAGAGGCCUGAGACCCGGGCGCCAUUGCUGGCCAGGCUCCCCUCCCCCACACUCCUUUCUUUGCUUCUCGAAGACCCGGGAGGGAGGAGGCGGCGAGCGCCUCGGUGGAUAGAGCUGCUAUUGUGACCUUCCCGGGCUAAGCGGGGAACCCAGCGGAGUGUGUACUGCCCGCGGUGGCGGGGGAGGAGGUGACUGUGUGCAAGCCUCGAGUGCAGAGGGGGUGGCACCCGGGAAUAAAUAAAGGCUUGCAACCUCGGGCACUUGGACCCUUCGGAGAGCGUUUGGUUGUGUUUAGACUUGGGUGCUUCCUAACACUAAUUGCAGGCUCAAGAGGAGCGGAAUUUAUGGCGAAGGCCAAGGCGGCUUGUUUAUAAUUUAUGAAGUUUUAAAUGGUUGUGCCGCGGGCCCAGCUCUCUCCGGCGGGCGGCCGCGUGGGAGUGUGCCCUCCCAGAACUCGCCGCCGCCCCCACCCACGCUAGGAGUGAGUGUGCCUGUCACGUGACUCGCGUUGGUGGCAGGAAAGAACCAAGCAAUUCUCUGAAGUCUCCAGAACUUCAGAAGGUAGGCGAAGGCGGCAGGUUUGGUCGAAGCGACCCCUCCCCCUUCUUCCAACAUCCUCCCUCCACCGCCGGGCCUGUGAGGUUGCGGCUGCCUAGACGGUGGGAACCCCCAACCUGACACUUCCUUAGAGCCUAUGUGUGAGAGGAAGCUGAUGUCAGCCGGGCUAGACACUGUUUAAAGUAAUCCAUGAAACCCUAAGCCACAGAUGACGCUUGGGGUAUUGCAGACACCCGCAGACUCAGCAGAUACUCCUGUGGUAACACACCGCGCUGGGAAACGCCUGGAGCCAUGAUGCAUUAUGUAUUUUUAUUAUUAUUUAUGGUAUGAAGAGGAGAUGAGAGAAACCGGGCUGAAUCUAAACAGCCUGACAAUUCAUCUAUUUAAUAUUUAGCCAGUUAAGAAAGGUGGCUGUGGUUCCCUACGAGGCAGCUAGCAUUUCUUUGAUUUCCGUAAUAGCUUAAAAAAUAAUUUCUUACAAUUAUAAAUUCUGUCUAGGAAUGCAAAUUUCAGAGAAAACAAUGUUAAGCCUUGAGAGUGGGUAAAAUAUGCCUUCGAUUGAAGUCAUUUAUUCUGUUGAUACAAUUCUACAACAUAUAUACUUUAAACUUGCUCAGAUAGAGUGAAAUUUAGCAAAAGGAUAACCCCUCCCACCCCCAGCCUAACAUGCCAUUUUUAAAACAGCACAAAGGAACAAGGAAACUAAAUAUUCUUUUGAGCCAUCAUUACUGAGCGAAACACAAACAUCCAAAUAGAAAACGAUUGCUGUUGCACCAGAAGAGUAGAAGUUAUCUCCACACAAUGGGAAUUUCACCUCGUGUCACCAGGCUGGUAGUGGGAGUUGCAUAUUUGCCAAACCAACUAGAGAUGCGUGGGUGGACUUUGCUGAAAUACAAAAUAAUUGAACCUUGUCUGAAGGCCUUUUUCCAAGUGCUCCCUUCUAUAGAAGUGGGUGUAAGUGCUCGACCCUUCCUAGAGCCACACUAAUAAUAUUUACAAAACGAUUAUAAAUUCUGUAGACUAUUCGCCCAUUUUGCACAAAGAAACAGGAGUAAGCAAGGUGUUUAUACGUGUUGUGUUCUAUUAAUGAACCUUUCGUUAUUUUACAUUGUGAAGAAUGUUUGUUUUCUUUAAAAGUGAACUGCUGACCACU